CCCCCACAUUCCUGGACCUUGAGCAUUCCUCAAGUAGGAAGAUGUAAUGCACCUUGACCUCUUUCUAAAUAAGACACUUCCCCAAAUAAGGGGAGUUGAGAGUGAACAGUCUUCACGUCUCCACCCACUUCCAGAUUCCAGAGGAGACAGACAUCGGAUGGCUGAAGAAAUUGUUACAGGCCACUGUGAGAGCAGCCACAAGCACCACAUACUCCUGGAAGUCCACCUCCCCGUCUCCAUUCUCGUCUAGCUCCUUCAUCACCUUGUCCACAGCAUCCACAUCCUUCUGGGCCUGUGGUGGGAGAAGAGGAAGAGGGAGGUGUAUAGGAAGGGGUACAGUACAGAGUCAGAGGCAAGGGGGUGGUUGAGGAGCAGGAGGCAAAGAUGAGCGAGAGGAACUGCACUGAAUUAUGGGACUCUUCUGGGCUUCCUCAAAACUCUUGAGGGCUCCUGUUGCCUACAGCAUAAACUCUUUCACCUGGCAGAAUGAAUAAUAAUGACACCAGUUACCGUAUGUUGAGUGCCUACAAUAAAGCAAGCACUAUACUAGGA
This 552-nucleotide non-coding RNA is filed under the name Pongo abelii (Sumatran orangutan). The record is from RNAcentral. Lineage: Eukaryota; Metazoa; Chordata; Mammalia; Primates; Hominidae.